UCGUAUUGGUACUAAGCCAUGCGAGUCGUUGUAGCAAUACAAGGCGGACUGCUCAGUAACACGUAGUUAACUUAGCCUAUGGAUGGGAAUAACCUCGGGAAACUGAGAAUAAUACCCAAUGGGCCACAGUGCCUGGAAUGGCCUGUGGUUGAAAUGAUUUAUCGCCGCAGGAUAGGACUGCGGCCUAUCAGCUUGUUGGUGAGGUAAUGGCCCACCAAGGCUAUAACAGGUACGGGCUCUGAGAGGAGGGGCCCGGAGAUGGGUACUGAGACACGGACCCAGGCCCUAUGGGGCGCAGCAGGCGAGAAACCUUUGCAAUGUGCGAAAGCACGACAAGGUUAAUCCGAGUGUCUCCUGCUAAAGGAGUCUUUUGUCAGUUGUAGAAUCACUGGUGAAUAAGGGGUGGGCAAGUCUGGUGUCAGCCGACGCGGUAAUACCAGCACCUCGAGUGGUCAGGACGUUUAUUGGGCCUAAAGCAUCCGUAGCCGGCUCUGCAAGUCUUCGGUUAAAUCCACCUGCU
This 520-nucleotide ribosomal RNA is filed under the name uncultured archaeon. Its description in RNAcentral is "bacterial SSU rRNA". It matches the Rfam family "Archaeal small subunit ribosomal RNA", at positions 33 to 559 of the family's 1478-position model. The record is from RNAcentral.